This 485-nucleotide ribosomal RNA is filed under the name uncultured bacterium. Its description in RNAcentral is "bacterial SSU rRNA". It matches the Rfam family "Bacterial small subunit ribosomal RNA", at positions 28 to 526 of the family's 1533-position model. The record is from RNAcentral.
GAUGAACGCUGGCGGCGUGCCUAAUACAUGCAAGUCGAACGAGGUGCUUGAGUAGCAAUACAAGAGUAUCCUAGUGGCGAACGGGUGAGUAACGCGUGGAUGACCUGCCCCAAAGUGUGGGAUAACAGUCCGAAAGGAUUGCUAAUACCUCAUGUGGUUGUUGGAUUUAGAAACUGACAACUAAAGCAGCAAUGCGCUUUGGGAGGGAUCUGCGUCCCAUCAGCUAGUUGGUGAGGUAACGGCUCACCAAGGCGACGACGGGUAGGGGACCUGAGAGGGUGGCCCCCCACAAUGGAACUGAAACACGGUCCAUACACCUACGGGUGGCAGCAGUAGGGAAUAUUGCUCAAUGGGCGAAAGCCUGAAGCAGCAACGCCGCGUGUGCGAUGAAGGCCUUGGGUCGUAAGCACUUUCUGAGAGAUGAGAAAGGACAGUAUCUCAGGAAUAAGUCUCGGCUAACUACGUGCCAGCAGCCGCGGUAAAGU